GAUGAACGCUGGCGGCGUGCCUAAUACAUGCCAGUCGAGCGAACAGACGAGGAGCUUGCUCCUCUGACGUUAGCGGCGGACGGGUGAGUAACACGUGGAUAACCUACCUAUAAGACUGGGAUAACUUCGGGAAACCGGAGCUAAUACCGGAUAAUAUAUUGAACCGCAUGGUUCAAUAGUGAAAGACGGUUUUGCUGUCACUUAUAGAUGGAUCCGCGCCGCAUUAGCUAGUUGGUAAGGUAACGGCUUACCAAGGCGACGAUGCGUAGCCGACCUGAGAGGGUGAUCGGCCACACUGGAACUGAGACACGGUCCAGACUCCUACGGGAGGCAGCAGUAGGGAAUCUUCCGCAAUGGGCGAAAGCCUGACGGAGCAACGCCGCGUGAGUGAUGAAGGUCUUCGGAUCGUAAAACUCUGUUAUUAGGGAAGAACAAAUGUGUAAGUAACUAUGCACGUCUUGACGGUACCUAAUCAGAGAGCCACGGCUAACUACGUG
RNAcentral lists this ribosomal RNA (497 nucleotides) under uncultured bacterium. RNAcentral describes it as "partial 16S ribosomal RNA". It matches the Rfam family "Bacterial small subunit ribosomal RNA", at positions 28 to 507 of the family's 1533-position model. The record is from RNAcentral.